This 367-nucleotide ribosomal RNA is filed under the name uncultured Vibrio sp. RNAcentral describes it as "bacterial SSU rRNA". It matches the Rfam family "Bacterial small subunit ribosomal RNA", at positions 1024 to 1390 of the family's 1533-position model. Lineage: Bacteria; Pseudomonadati; Pseudomonadota; Gammaproteobacteria; Vibrionales; Vibrionaceae. The record is from RNAcentral.
GGAAUCUGAGACAGGUGCUGCAUGGCUGUCGUCAGCUCGUGUUGUGAAAUGUUGGGUUAAGUCCCGCAACGAGCGCAACCCUUAUCCUUGUUUGCCAGCGAGUAAUGUCGGGAACUCCAGGGAGACUGCCGGUGAUAAACCGGAGGAAGGUGGGGACGACGUCAAGUCAUCAUGGCCCUUACGAGUAGGGCUACACACGUGCUACAAUGGCGCAUACAGAGGGCGGCCAACUUGCGAAAGGGAGCGAAUCCCAAAAAGUGCGUCGUAGUCCGGAUUGGAGUCUGCAACUCGACUCCAUGAAGUCGGAAUCGCUAGUAAUCGUGGAUCAGAAUGCCACGGUGAAUACGUUCCCGGGUCUUGUACACAC